Molecule: long non-coding RNA, 792 nt
Organism: Haliotis rubra (blacklip abalone)
Lineage: Eukaryota; Metazoa; Mollusca; Gastropoda; Lepetellida; Haliotidae
Exons: 2
Source: RefSeq, a predicted model, not a curated record
CUGGGUAUUGUAUUAAGAAAUACUUAUGUUGGGACACUGGAUAUUGUAUUAAGAAAUACUUACUUGACACCGGAUAUUGUAUUAAGAAAUACUUAUGUUGGGACGCCAGAUAUUGUAUUAAGAAAUACUUACUUGACACCGGAUAUUGUAUUAAGUAAUACUUACUUGACACCAGAUAUUGUAUUAAGAAAUACUUACUUGAAACCAGAUAUUGUAUUGAGAAAUACUUACUUGACACCAGAUAUUUUAUUAAGAAAUACUUACUUGACACCAGAUAUUGUAUUAAGAAAUCCUUACUUGACACCAGUUAUUUUAUUAAGAAAUGCUUACGCGUUAUCAUUCAUAAGCCGACUUUUGUGACAGCGGGUGUUAUCAAUGAAUGAUUAGGAUAGAAACUACACAUACGUCACAUGAAACUCGAUUAAUAAUGUCACAAAUCAAUUUUGACCAACGUCUAGGGUUGGGAUAUCGUGUUAGGCAGUGAUGAGUUUACCUUUAAGAGCUGAGUCAGCGAGAAUCAUGGUUGGGAUUCCCUUCUGUUAUUACCUAACUUGCCUGGAAGUAUCAUUGUCAGCUGCAGAUUACAAAAUACAUUCACACAUAUAUUUUGUUCAGUGAAGAUAUGUGUCGGCUAUCUACUUCAGAUGGAGAACCAGUGUUUUGUAUAGACCGCAUUUCACAAUCAAUUGGUCCCGUAAAGAAUAGUUUCCUUAAUUGUUUUUGUUAAUGUCGUAUUAACCUGUAUAUGGAGCAACAUACUAGUAUUUUACAAUUAAACUGAAAUUAAACAAC